Molecule: ribosomal RNA, 253 nt
Filed under: uncultured bacterium
Lineage: Bacteria
Description: partial 16S ribosomal RNA
Rfam family: Bacterial small subunit ribosomal RNA
Source: RNAcentral
UACGUAGGGUGCAAGCGUUGUCCGGAAUUAUUGGGCGUAAAGAGCUCGUAGGCGGUUUGUCGCGUCUGCUGUGAAAACCCGAGGCUCAACCUCGGGCCUGCAGUGGGUACGGGCAGACUGGAGUGCGGUAGGGGAGAUUGGAAUUCCUGGUGUAGCGGUGGAAUGCGCAGAUAUCAGGAGGAACACCGAUGGCGAAGGCAGAUCUCUGGGCCGUAACUGACGCUGAGGAGCGAAAGCGUGGGGAGCGAACAGG